RNAcentral lists this ribosomal RNA (404 nucleotides) under Flavobacteriales bacterium. RNAcentral's name for it is "partial 23S ribosomal RNA". It matches the Rfam family "Bacterial large subunit ribosomal RNA", at positions 2510 to 2925 of the family's 2925-position model. Lineage: Bacteria; Pseudomonadati; Bacteroidota; Flavobacteriia; Flavobacteriales. The record is from RNAcentral.
GGAAUGGUUUGGCACCUCGAUGUCGGUUCGUCACAUCCUGGGGCUGGAGAAGGUCCCAAGGGUUCGGCUGUUCGCCGAUUAAAGUGGCACGUGAACUGGGUUCAGAACGUCGUGAGACAGUUCGGUCCCUAUCUGUUGCGGGCGUCGGAAGUUUGAGAGGAGCUGCUAUUAGUACGAGAGGACCGUAGCGGACGAACCGCUAGUGUGCCAGUUGUUCCGCCAGGAGCACCGCUGGGUAGCUAUGUUCGGAUGGGAUAAGCGCUGAAAGCAUCUAAGCACGAAGCCCACCUCAAGAUGAGACUUCCUUAUUAGGACCGUAGAAGACUACUACGUUGAUAGGUCACAGGUGUAAAGCCAGUAAUGGCAUAGCCGAGUGAUACUAAUUGUCCGAACGUUUUCGACCC